Molecule: ribosomal RNA, 217 nt
Filed under: uncultured bacterium
Lineage: Bacteria
Description: partial 16S ribosomal RNA
Rfam family: Bacterial small subunit ribosomal RNA
Source: RNAcentral
GACAGAGGCCUCAAGCGUUAGGCGGAAUCACUGGGCUUAAAGCGUGUGUAGGCGGAUCGUUAAGUGUCUUGUGAAAUCCCACGGCUCACCCGUGGAACUGCUGGGCAUACUGGCGAUCUUGGGCCAACUAGGGGCAACUGGAACAAGCGGUGGAGCGGUGAAAUGCGUAGAUAAUCGCUUGGAACGCCAAAGGGUGAAAACAGGUUGCUGGGGUUGU